AACACAAUGUUGUUAAUCAAUCAUCAUCCAAGGGUGACCACCAUUGGUCCUCAAUCUCUCCGUUGAUGAGUGCAUUGACAACACCCAACACAAAUUCAUAUCUUGAUAAAAAUAAAAAGAAAAGACAAACUCGAAACCAAAGAAAAAUCUCAGUCCCCUAAGAAAACGGCAACGACUCUACACGACUGAGACAAGGCAAAAAAUGGGCUCAACACCAAUCACAUGAAAGUCCAAAUCCGGCUCCUCAAGAAGAGGUAAAACAGCUCAACGCGACUAGAAAAAGAGCACAAGAGCAUAUAAAAGCUUACAAGAACUCGACUCCCCCUGAAAUCAGGACUCCCC
Molecule: long non-coding RNA, 342 nt
Filed under: Setaria viridis
Lineage: Eukaryota; Viridiplantae; Streptophyta; Magnoliopsida; Poales; Poaceae
Description: long non-coding RNA (SVIR_LNC003142)
Source: RNAcentral